This 502-nucleotide ribosomal RNA is filed under the name uncultured bacterium. Its description in RNAcentral is "bacterial SSU rRNA". It matches the Rfam family "Bacterial small subunit ribosomal RNA", at positions 30 to 527 of the family's 1533-position model. The record is from RNAcentral.
AUUGAACGCUGGCGGCAUGCUUUACACAUGCAAGUCGAACGGCAGCGCGGGGGCAACCCUGGCGGCGAGUGGCGAACGGGUGAGUAAUGUAUCGGAACGUAUCCUGUAAUGGGGGAUAACCAGUCGAAAGAUUGGGUAAUACCGCAUACGCACGAGAGUGGAAAGUAGGGGAUCGCAAGACCUUACGUUAUAGGAGCGGCCGAUAUCUGAUUAGCUAGUUGGUGGGGUAAAGGCCUACCAAGGCGACGAUCAGUAGCUGGUCUGAGAGGACGACCAGCCACACUGGGACUGAGACACGGCCCAGACUCCUACGGGAGGCAGCAGUGGGGAAUUUUGGACAAUGGGCGAAAGCCUGAUCCAGCCAUGCCGCGUGCAGGAAGAAGGCCUCGGUUGUAACUGCUUAGUCUAGAAAGGGUAGCGAGGUUAAGUACCUCGUGCUUGUAUGGUACUGGAAGAAUAAGACACCGGCUAACUACGUGCCAGCAGCCGCGGUAAAGUAACU